GGGUCGUUAGCUCAGUUGGUAGAGCAGCUGACUCUUAAUCAGCGGGCCACAGGUUCGACCCCUGUACGACCCACCA
Molecule: transfer RNA, 76 nt
Filed under: Nitrospirota bacterium
Lineage: Bacteria; Pseudomonadati; Nitrospirota
Also listed under: 1 other name
Description: Nitrospirae bacterium tRNA-Lys
Rfam family: tRNA
About the family: Transfer RNA (tRNA) molecules are approximately 80 nucleotides in length.
Source: RNAcentral